GAUGAACGCUGGCGGCGUGCCUAAUACAUGCAAGUCGAGCGAACGGACGAGAAGCUUGCUUCUCUGAUGUUAGCGGCGGACGGGUGAGUAACACGUGGAUAACCUACCUAUAAGACUGGGAUAACUUCGGGAAACCGGAGCUAAUACCGGAUGAUAUUUUGAACCGCAUGGUUCAAAAGUGAAAGACGGUCUUGCUGUCACUUAUAGAUGGAUCCGCGCUGCAUUAGCUAGUUGGUAAGGUAACGGCUUACCAAGGCAACGAUGCAUAGCCGACCUGAGAGGGGGAUCGCCCAAACUGGAACUGAGACACGGCCCAGCCUCCGGCGGGAGGAAGAAGUGGGGAAUCUUCCGAAAUGGGGGAAGGCUUGAGGGAGAAGCGCCGGGUGAGGGAGGAGGUUUUUCGGAUCGUAAAACUGUUUUUUGAGGAAAAAACAUAUGUGUAAGUAACUUUGCACUUCUUGACGGUACCUAAUAAAAAAGCCCCGGCAACCUACGGC
RNAcentral lists this ribosomal RNA (497 nucleotides) under uncultured bacterium. RNAcentral describes it as "partial 16S ribosomal RNA". It matches the Rfam family "Bacterial small subunit ribosomal RNA", at positions 28 to 508 of the family's 1533-position model. The record is from RNAcentral.